CAGCAAUCUAAGGAAAGCGCAUGAAAAUUAUAAACAUUUGGCAUAAUCCAAGAUAAUCCUCUUUUUCUUAGUAUUUAAUUAAAUUACUUUGUGUACAUAGUGUACAAUAUCGUUGUGUAUAUAUUAUAGUGUAUAUAAUAUAUUAUAGUGUAUAUAAUAUUGUUUUGUGGAAUAAUUGGAAAAAUAUAUUCCUGUCAUUCACACUUGGCGGUGCACACAUCAAUCUCAUAAAAGAACAACGCAGUUGCGCAUAUCAUUGCAAGGUAAUUUUUUAACUGCUUUGAUAACAAUUGAUUUGAUGAUAAUAGAAUAUAAUAGAUAAUUAUAAUAAUAGAAUAUAAUAGAUAAUUAUAAUAAUAAAAUAUAAUAGAUAGAAUAUAAGUAUAUCAGUAUUAUAAAUAUUUCUCUCUCUCUCUCUCUCUCUCAUGCCUUGUUUUUUUAAUGGAUAUGUUUGCAAUUGACUCGCUUUUGUGAUCUCAAUAUUAAUAUAUAAGAUUAAUAUAGAUAGUUAUGAUAAUAGAAUAUAAUAGAUAGUUAUAAGAAUCUCAUGCGUUGUUUUUUUAAUAGAUAUAUUUGCGAUUGAGAGGGUUAUGAUACUCCAAUGAUCUCGCUUUUGUGAUCUCAAUAUUAAUAUGUAAGAUUAAUAUAGAAAAUUAAUAUAUAAUAUUAAUUUAUAGAAGGAUAUAAGAUAUUUAAAAAAAAUUUAUAUAUUUUGAUUAUAAAAUUUGUUGUAUUAAAUAAAUUAUAUUGAAUACAUUUUAUAAAUA
Cataglyphis hispanica is the source of this 767-nucleotide long non-coding RNA. RefSeq lists it as uncharacterized. NCBI's taxonomy places the organism in Eukaryota, Metazoa, Arthropoda, Insecta, Hymenoptera, Formicidae. The record is from RefSeq and is a predicted model, not a curated record. The transcript is spliced from 2 exons.